This 253-nucleotide ribosomal RNA is filed under the name uncultured bacterium. Its description in RNAcentral is "partial 16S ribosomal RNA". It matches the Rfam family "Bacterial small subunit ribosomal RNA", at positions 524 to 776 of the family's 1533-position model. The record is from RNAcentral.
UACAUGGGGGGCAAGCGUUGUUCGGAAUUACUGGGCAUAAAGGGUGCGUAGGUGGCUUGUUAAGUCAGGGGUGAAAGUUUUCGGCCCAACCGGAAAAUGGCCUUUGAUACUGGCGAGCUCGAGUGCGUGAGGGGUAACCGGAACGAGCAGUGUAGCGGUGAAAUGCGUAGAUAUUGCUCGGAAGGCCAACGGCGAAGGCAGGUUACUGGUGCGCAACUGACACUGAGGCACGAAAGCGUGGGGAGCAAACAGG